Molecule: ribosomal RNA, 492 nt
Filed under: uncultured bacterium
Lineage: Bacteria
Description: partial 16S ribosomal RNA
Rfam family: Bacterial small subunit ribosomal RNA
Source: RNAcentral
AGUGAACGCUGGCGGUAGGCCUAACACAUGCAAGUCGAACGGCAGCACAGUAAGAGCUUGCUCUUACGGGUGGCGAGUGGCGGACGGGUGAGGAAUACAUCGGAAUCUACUUUUUGGGGGGGGAUAACGUAGGGAAACUUAUGCUAGUACCGCAUACGACCUACGGGGGAAAGCAGGGGAUCGUCGGACCUUGCGCGAUUGAAUGAGCCGAUGUCGGAUUAGCUAGUUGGCGGGGUAAAGGCCCACCAAGGCGACGAUCCGUAGCUGGUCUGAGAGGAUGAUAAGCCACACUGGAGCUGAGCCACGGUCCAGACUCCUACGGUAGGCAGCAGUGGGGAAUAUUGGACAAUGGGCGCAAGCCUGAUCCAGCCAUACCGCGUGGGUGACGAAGGCCUUCGGGUUGUAAAGCCCUUUUGUUGGGAAAGAAAAGCAGCAGGUUAAUACCCCGCUGUUCUGACGGUACCCAAAGAAUAAGCACCGGCUAACUUCGUG